This 253-nucleotide ribosomal RNA is filed under the name uncultured bacterium. RNAcentral describes it as "partial 16S ribosomal RNA". It matches the Rfam family "Bacterial small subunit ribosomal RNA", at positions 524 to 776 of the family's 1533-position model. The record is from RNAcentral.
UACGGAGGGGGUUAGCGUUGUUCGGAAUUAUUGGGCGUAAAGCGUCUGCAGGUUGAUAUCUAAGUCUUUUGUUAAAUUUCCGAGCUCAACUCGGAGUCGGCAGAAGAAACUAUUUAUCUUGAGUAUGGUAGGGGUAAAGGGAAUUUCAAGUGGAGCGGUGAAAUGCGUAGAUAUUUGAAAGAACUCCAAUAGCGAAGGCACUUUACUGGGCCAGUACUGACACUCAGAGACGAAAGCUAGGGGAGCAAACAGG